Molecule: ribosomal RNA, 322 nt
Filed under: uncultured eukaryote
Lineage: Eukaryota
Description: partial 18S ribosomal RNA
Rfam family: Eukaryotic small subunit ribosomal RNA
Source: RNAcentral
CCCUUAGAUGUUCUGGGCCGCACGCGUGCUACACUGAGUGGAUCAGCGGGUCAGGUUGCGCGAAAGUGUUUCCUAAUCUUGAAAUCCGCUCGUGAUGGGGAUUGACGGUUGCAAUUUUCCGUCAUGAACGAGGAAUACCUUGUAAGCGCGGGUCAUCAUCCCGCGCUGAAUACGUCCCUGCCCUUUGUACACACCGCCCGUCGCUCCUACCGAUUGAGUGGUCCGGUGAGGCUUUGGGAUCUGAGCGGAAAGAGCGUUUCGCUGUUUCUGCUCGGAAAACUCAGUCGAACCUUAUCAUUUAGAGGAAGGAGAAGCCGUAACA